UACUCACUAACUUAAAUGCAGCCCAUACAUGUCAUUCAUACUCACUAACUUAAAUGCAGCCCAUACAUGUCAUUCAUACUCACUAACUUAAAUGCAGCCCAUACAGGUCAUUCCUACUCACUAACUUAAAUGCAGCCCAUACAGGUCAUUCAUACUCACUAACUUAAAUGCAGCUCAACAGGUCAUUCAUACUCACUAACUUACAUGCAGCCCAUACAUGUCAUUCAUACUCACUAACUUACAUGCAGCCCAUACAUGUCAUUCAUACUCACUAACUUAAAUGCAGCCCAUACAUGUCAUUCAUACUCACUAACUUACAUGCAGCCCAUACAUGUCAUUCAUACUCACUAACUUACAUGCAGCCCAUACAUGUCAUUCAUACUCACUAACUUAAAUGCAGCCCAUACAUGUCAUUCAUACUCACUAACUUACAUGCAGCCCAUACAUGUCAUUCAUACU
This is a long non-coding RNA of Biomphalaria glabrata, 459 nucleotides long. RefSeq lists it as uncharacterized. The record is from RefSeq and is a predicted model, not a curated record. NCBI's taxonomy places the organism in Eukaryota, Metazoa, Mollusca, Gastropoda, Planorbidae. The transcript is spliced from 3 exons.